RNAcentral lists this long non-coding RNA (1479 nucleotides) under Sus scrofa (pig). Its description in RNAcentral is "lncRNA (ENSSSCG00005004451.1)". The record is from RNAcentral. Lineage: Eukaryota; Metazoa; Chordata; Mammalia; Artiodactyla; Suidae.
AUACAUACCUUUUUCCAUAUUUUAGAUUAUUUUUCUGAGACAUAUUUGUCUAUGGCCACAUUGAGGCUUUCCUGUUGAGCCAUGUCAAACAUUUGAAUUUUAUCCUAAAAAUAUUCGGAAGCGCAAAGGGAUUUCAAGCAAGGGAAUAGUAGAUUGAGAUUUAUGUUUCAGAAAUAAGACUGUCAUGGCAGUUAGAAGAUUGUAGAGAAAAAAAGAGAAGAGACAGAGAGAUUUAUUGGAAUUUAAAAAAAAAAAAAAAAAAAAGCAGUUCGGGGAAUUGAUAACAAAGGCCUGGCCAAAGACGGUGGGAAUAAGAAAAUGGAUCGCAAAGUAUUUGUGACCCAGACUAGACAGGACCUGGUGACUGGCUGGAUGUGGGGUUAAGGAGAGGGUGGCAUUGAGAAGGAUCCUGAGCUUUCCAUCUCAAGACAACGGAGGUGAAGUGUAAAGGAGGAGUAGGUUGGGGAGGAAAGAAUCCUAUUUAGGACCUCUUGAGUUGGAAAUGCUUGUAAGACAUCCUGGUGGAGACACCUAAGAAGUAACUGAACAUGUGUUUGGUACUUUGGAGAAAAGCGAAAGCUUGAAAAGAAAAUGUACACUUAGGUUAAUUGUUAAAGUAGUUAUUAAGUGAUUUCAGUGGGUAAGACACCUGUUGCAAACUGUGAGAGACUCAAAUAAACAGAAAUGCAUUCUUCACCGGAUCCCGGAAGCUUAUAAUCAUCCUGCGUCACUAAAGCAAUUACCUUGUUAGGCUGUCAUUUCUCCAUUCACAUGUCUGCUUCUCCAAGCACACCGAGAUCCUCUCUGGGCCUAGGGCCCAGCUCUGUCCUUAUUCUCUUUUUAUCCUUUGUGAUAUGAUAUUCUCUUUCUUUCACAUGCAAUAAAGGGCACAGUGCAAGGUCAUUAGCCAUUAAUGCUUAUGGAAAGAUGAGUGAGUGAAAGGAAGAGCUUAUGAGGGGGCAACAAAGGGCUAAGAAGUUUAGGUUGUGAAAGAGACCCCAUCUUAUACCAUACACAAAAAUAAAUUCCAGACAAAGUCAAGACUCAGAUGUAAAAACAAACAAAAAAGCUUUGUGGGAGUGCCCACUGUGAUGCAGAUUAAGGAUCCAGCAUUGUCUCUCCAGUGGUUUGGAUUGAUGCUGAGGCGUGGGUUUGAUCUCCUGCCCAGCACAGUGGGUUAAGCAUCCAGUGUUGCCUAGCUGUGGCAUAGGUCACAGCUGUGGCUGGAAUUUAGUCUCUGGCCCGGGAACUUCCUUAUGCCACGGCUCAGUGGGUUAGGAACUCGACAAGUAUCCAUGAGGAUGCAGGUUUGAUCCCUGGCCUUGCUUAGUGGAUUAAGGAUCUGGUAUUGCCCUCAGCUGUGGAGUAGGUCACGGAUAUGGUUCAGAUCUGGUGUGGCUGUGGCUGUGGUGUAGGCCAGCAGCUGUAGCUCUGAUUCGAUCCCCUAGCCUGGGAACUUCCAUAUGCCAUAGGUGCAGC